RNAcentral lists this ribosomal RNA (465 nucleotides) under Vreelandella stevensii. Its description in RNAcentral is "partial 16S ribosomal RNA". It matches the Rfam family "Bacterial small subunit ribosomal RNA", at positions 338 to 795 of the family's 1533-position model. Lineage: Bacteria; Pseudomonadati; Pseudomonadota; Gammaproteobacteria; Oceanospirillales; Halomonadaceae. The record is from RNAcentral.
CCUACGGGGGGCAGCAGUGGGGAAUAUUGGACAAUGGGGGCAACCCUGAUCCAGCCAUGCCGCGUGUGUGAAGAAGGCCCUCGGGUUGUAAAGCACUUUCAGUGAGGAAGAACGCCUGGUGGUUAAUACCCAUCAGGAAAGACAUCACUCACAGAAGAAGCACCGGCUAACUCCGUGCCAGCAGCCGCGGUAAUACGGAGGGUGCGAGCGUUAAUCGGAAUUACUGGGCGUAAAGCGCGCGUAGGUGGCUUGAUAAGCCGGUUGUGAAAGCCCCGGGCUCAACCUGGGAACGGCAUCCGGAACUGUCAAGCUAGAGUGCAGGAGAGGAAGGUAGAAUUCCCGGUGUAGCGGUGAAAUGCGUAGAGAUCGGGAGGAAUACCAGUGGCGAAGGCGGCCUUCUGGACUGACACUGACACUGAGGUGCGAAAGCGUGGGUAGCAAACAGGAUUAGAUACCCCAGUAGUA